This 2569-nucleotide unclassified non-coding RNA is filed under the name Leishmania donovani. RNAcentral's name for it is "gene:LdHU3.32.0160(CDS-product:NLI_interacting_fa ctor-like_phosphatase_putative)". Lineage: Eukaryota; Euglenozoa; Kinetoplastea; Trypanosomatida; Trypanosomatidae. The record is from RNAcentral.
CAAACAGGAGAAGAGGGGAGACGUAGCAGAAGAAGUGACCAUAUCAAGUAAAAACGCCACUGACUUGAUCCUUGUUCAGUGUGUGUGUGUGUGUGUGCUGGCUUGUGUGUGGGACGUCUGCGACUGCAACCAAACAAACCAGUGGACCAACCUCAGCAAACCAAAACAGAAAUCAAAACAGAGAAGGACGCCAUCUAGUAGCAGGUGAACCAGAAAAGCGGCAAAGGAAGAGCAAGGAUCCACUCUUCUGCUGGCUUUCCUUGCACCGCACAAAGCAGCGGCGCCGUGCACGGAGCUGAACGCGCCAAGGCAGGCGAAGCGGGGGAGGGGCAAAGCGUGCGGCUGCCAGAGGUUCUCGUUUUUGCUGUUCUCCUCUCGUGGGGUGGCUCGGGUGCGUUUCGGAGUGGUGCUGUACGAAAGAAGCGGCGCGCCGCUACCCUUCCAGAGGAGGCCCUCGACACACCGCACAUUCCCUCAUUUUUGUCUUCAGGCUCGAUCACAGCUUCGUAUUCUUUGGCUUUCUCUUUUCCGGGCUCGUCUAUCCUCCUUCGUCCCUGUCCGUGUCUGUGUUUUGAUUUUUAUUACUAUUAUUAUUUUAUCUUUUUUUUUUCGGUGUGGUGGAGAAAGAGGCUUAUUGUGCGCGUGCGUGCGCCCUGGGGAGUGCUGGCGAUUGAGCCUGCAGUGCGCUGUCGUUGCAAAUUACAGUGUUCUCCGUUGUGAGGAUGCAGGAUGGCCGACGGUCCACCUCGGUUCUUCACGAAGCCAGAGGAGUACGUGGGCGUUAAUAACCACCGGCGGACGCUUUUCUUAGACAUGGACGAGACUCUUGUCCACUGUUACUUUGAGAAACCGACGUUUUUUAUCGACACCAAUGAAGACUUCUUCCAAUUCACGCUGGAGGACGACCCCAGUGUGACCUACUACGCGUUUAGGCGACCUGGGUUGAAUGAAUUCCUUUACCAGUGCGCAGAGCACUACGAUAUGCGUAUCUUCACCGCCGGCGAGGACCUGUACGCGCGGACGCUGCUUCGGUGGCUGCUGCCUGAUAAUCUUAUUGACGAGUCUCGGUGGUACACCCGCGACGCGUGCGUAGGCGACGGCUACGGGCGCUUAAUAAAGAAUCUCAGCAUGCUGGACGGUUUUCAAUUUGAGGAGCGCACCGCCUUAAUCCUGGACGACUCGGCACCUGAUAAUGUGUAUCCGCAUCAGAACGCACUCGCCAUUCCCCGCUUCGCGCCACAAACAGGUCGUACAGAUGAGGAGAACUAUGGGCGAAUGCAGGCGGAUAGGGGCUUGGAAAUGUUUGGCAGAAUGCUAUGCGGCGAGCAUUUUACGCGGUGCGACGACGUUCGUGUCCCCAUAGCACGUUUUUAUGCACUUAUACGAACUUACACACGAAGCAGCACAGCCAAGUCAGAGAUGUGACGGUAGCUGCACCGCCCACUCCUCUCUACGCUUUCCCUAACAGGUCCGAUGCCGUGGUGGUGCGGGGCGGCUCUAUGUAUAUACAAGGAUGGUUGCUGGUGUCCUUUUCUUGUGCGGGUGUGUGAACGCGAGUGUGCGGAGUCGAAGCUCUCCGUCGUAGCUCUUCAUCUCUCUCUUUCCCUCGAUGCAGCGCUCGACCCCACACAUCCAUCGCACCAAGGAGCGAAUGGUGAUGCCCUCUUCGCAGAGGUGGUCUCACACACAACCGCACCCAUGCACAAACCUCACACCACGCGGGCAAGGGCGUUCAUCUGCACAGCCGUGUGCGAGGUGGAGCCCACAAAAGGUGUACAUUCCACAGGGCCGUGCGAAGCUGAUCGCAAAUCGUUUUUUUUUUUGCGGGUGAAUGUGCUUUUCUUUGGUUAAGGGGGGGGGUGUUUUAGUGUGCAGCGGUCUCUGCAGUUUGUUGGUCUCACAGGCUUUUUGUUUUUCUUUUUACUGUGCCCCUCCCUACUCCUCCUCCUCCUCCUUCGUGAUUCUUCCUUCCACCUCUACGGACUUCGGGUCUCACCACACACACACACACACACUCUCUGCGUCUUUUUAUCUACUUUCCUGAAGGAAAAAAAGUCCAACAAAGAGGAGUAUCGCCCUUUCUCUAUAUUGGCCGGAAAAAGAAACGCACGUACAAGCGGGGUGAGGGUGGGGGACAACACCAAAGAGCUUCAACAAGGACUGCCAGGCUAAUAAAAUGUAAGCGGUAGGGGACAAUGGACAAGCGAAGCACCGUCUCUGAUGGGAGUCACAUGAAAGCGUAGUCUUGUGCGCUCUCCUUGAAUUCAGUCAAGUAAACAGUUGGGCUCUUUGUGCUGUGGGUCCUUCACCUCUCGACCUCCGUUUCUGCUCUCUUCUGUUAGUCUCUGCACUCGACUCUCCGCUAAAUGUGCAAGAUGAAGCAUGGGUGCGGGGAAGCGAAAACAGCGACAAGGGGUAUUGUGUGACUGCCUCUCCGUCAUGGUUGCUACAGGUCGUUUCUCCUUCUCUCCCGUGGACACCCCCUCUUCUCUCUCUUUGGCUCUGCUCUUCACCGGCUACUCCUGUUGGUACGCCUUCUUCACGGUCGCCCUAACGAUGGGGAACUUUC